UCUUUAAUAUUGAACGUGAUUGUGCCGUGAGGCCUUAAUAUUAACACAACUUUUAACAACGGAUCUCUUGGCUCUCGCAUCGAUUAAGAACGCAGCGAAAUGCGAUAAGUAAUGUGAAUUGCAGAAUUCAGUGAAUCAUCGAAUUUUUGAACGCACCUUGCGCUCCCUGGUAUUCCGGGGAGCACGCCUGUUCGAGUGUCGUAAAAUUCUCAAACUGGGAUGCUUUUUUGUUUCUCGGCUUGGUGUUGGGCUUUGCAGAUCCAUUGAUUGGGAUAGCUGGCCUCAAACGCAUUAGCUGGCUUUUCAUGUGGCAUUGGUUCUACUCAGCGUGAUAAUGAUCUGACCGCCGAGGACAUCUAUCGGGAUGGCCAAUUCUCAUUUGGGCUGCUUCAA
RNAcentral lists this ribosomal RNA (393 nucleotides) under uncultured Clavulina. RNAcentral's name for it is "eukaryotic LSU rRNA". The stretch from base 48 to 201 matches the Rfam family "5.8S ribosomal RNA". Lineage: Eukaryota; Fungi; Basidiomycota; Agaricomycetes; Cantharellales; Hydnaceae. The record is from RNAcentral.